Molecule: ribosomal RNA, 253 nt
Filed under: uncultured bacterium
Lineage: Bacteria
Description: partial 16S ribosomal RNA
Rfam family: Bacterial small subunit ribosomal RNA
Source: RNAcentral
UACGGAGGGGGCGAGCGUUAUUCGGAAUUAUUGGGCGUAAAGGGCGCGUAGGCGGCCUUGUAAGUCAAAGGUGAAAUCCCUCGGCUCAACUGAGGAACUGCCCUUGAAACUGCAAGGCUUGAGGCCGGGAGGGGGUAGCGGAAUUCCCAAUGUAGCGGUGAAAUGCGUAGAUAUUGGGAGGAACACCAGUGGCGAAGGCGGCUACCUGGACCGGUACUGACGCUGAGGCGCGAAAGCGUGGGGAGCGAACAGG